Drosophila willistoni is the source of this 136-nucleotide long non-coding RNA. RefSeq lists it as uncharacterized. Lineage: Eukaryota; Metazoa; Arthropoda; Insecta; Diptera; Drosophilidae. The transcript has 2 exons. The record is from RefSeq and is a predicted model, not a curated record.
ACGCAAAAAAACAAUAAAUGCAAAUUUAGCAACGUAAAAUUUCAUCCAAUUGAGGACCCCAAGACUAAACUUGGAUUCAAGACGAAGAACAGAUAUUGGUGUCUUUGUUGAACUUGUAUUUUCCUUAUUAUUUCAA